Molecule: transfer RNA, 76 nt
Filed under: Zetaproteobacteria bacterium
Lineage: Bacteria; Pseudomonadati; Pseudomonadota; Candidatius Mariprofundia
Also listed under: 1 other name
Description: tRNA-Lys
Rfam family: tRNA
About the family: Transfer RNA (tRNA) molecules are approximately 80 nucleotides in length. Their secondary structure includes four short double-helical elements and three loops (D, anti-codon, and T loops).
Source: RNAcentral
GCGCCCAUAGCUCAGUUGGUAGAGCAGCGGACUUUUAAUCCGUGGGUCCUAGGUUCGAGUCCUAGUGGGCGCACCA